GUGUUCGCUUCGGCAGCACACAUACUAAAAUUGAAACAAUACAGAGAAGAUUAGCAUGACUGGCCCCUGCACAAGGAUGACAUGCAAAUUUGUGAAGUAUUCUACAUGGAA
Ailuropoda melanoleuca (giant panda) is the source of this 111-nucleotide small nuclear RNA. Lineage: Eukaryota; Metazoa; Chordata; Mammalia; Carnivora; Ursidae. The record is from Ensembl.